Molecule: ribosomal RNA, 524 nt
Filed under: uncultured archaeon
Lineage: Archaea
Description: bacterial SSU rRNA
Rfam family: Archaeal small subunit ribosomal RNA
Source: RNAcentral
GGAUAACUUACCCUUAGGACUGGGAUAACUCUGGGAAACUGGGGAUAAUACUGGAUAUUAGGCUAUGCCUGGAAUGGUUUGCCUUUGAAAUGUUUUUUCGCCUAAGGAUAGGUCUGCGGCUGAUUAGGUCGUUGGUGGGGUAAUGGCCCACCAAGCCGAUGAUCGGUACGGGUUGUGAGAGCAAGGGCCCGGAGAUGGAACCUGAGACAAGGUUCCAGACCCUACGGGGUGCAGCAGGCGCGAAACCUCCGCAAUGUACGAAAGUGCGACGGGGGGAUCCCAAGUGUUAUGCUUUUUUGUAUGACUUUUCAUUAGUGUAAAAAGCUUUUAGAAUAAGAGCUGGGCAAGACCGGUGCCAGCCGCCGCGGUAACACCGGCAGCUCGAGUGGUAGCUGUUUUUAUUGGGCCUAAAGCGUUCGUAGCCGGUUUGAUAAGUCUUUGGUGAAAGCUUGUAGCUUAACUAUAAGAAUUGCUGGAGAUACUAUUAGACUUGAAGUCGGGAGAGGUUAGAGGUACUACCGGGG